AUGGCUGAGAUGGUCAAGUCGGUCAUUGUUGGGGAAGCAGUUAGCCGGAUUAUUUCGGGUAUUGCCCCCACCAGCAAAGACGAGGACAAAGCAGAUGAAGAAGCAUCAGGAGGUGGUGGGCUAGAGAGGCUGGAGAUGGCGCGCAUCAAAAUGGAGGCCGCAGUCCAAACGUCCAACAAGUGGCAGAUCACCGACACGUCGCUCCUCCGUUGGCGAAAGAAGCUCAAGCGCACUGUUCAGGACUGUGAUGACGUAGCGCGCAGAUGCAGGCAACUUUCUCGGGAAGAAGACGAGGCGGAGCGGGUGGUAAGGAAAUCCUCAUUUCCUAGACGGAUGGCUCAUGCGACCAAGGUGUUCAUCUCCUCUUUCGUUGGCCACGACAAUGGUCAUCGCUCUGCGGGGAGUGCCACCACCGCUGUUGUUCGAAGAUUCGAGAGGCUUGCGGACGGUGCUGAUGAAUUUAUCAGGUAUGUGCAGAUCGGCGGGACACCACGUCAGAACCUGUUCUUUGACCCUCUCAUUGGGCAUCUCUUCACGGGCAAAAUGAUUGCUUAUCAGUUGUUGCGUCCUGGAGGUCAGUACCAAUACUUCCGCAUAGGGCCAAUCAAUUUCCAGGAGCGUGGGUUGGAGGCCUUUCUAUCCUUCAUGUACGAAGAUUGUAAGGUGCCCAAGAACAGUUUUUGCCUAGGGGUCAUGCUGCGUCUGUCUGAGAGUACAGACAUAAUUGGAACCGUUGUCAAGUGCUUGCGAGUUAUGACACCUCACUUCAACUCUAUGACCGACGUUGUUAUCAAGGAGAUCACCCAUCUCCCUACGCAGGAUUUCUCCUGUGUUGCACACGAGAAACACUGGGUUCACGUCCAUAGAACUUUGACUGAAUGGUUCCGUCCAGAUCCAUUAUGUUGUCAAGGAUUUGAACACGAUGUUGUGCCUUCUUUCCAUAGUGGCAGCGACAUCAGUAAUGGAAGCGGAAAUAAAUUGAAGUUUUCGAGUAUAUUUCCUGAACCAGUCUGCCAAGUGUUUUUCCAGUGUCACACCUCACCAUCGGAGUACAGAAACCUUCCAGGAUCAACCGUAUUUGCUGGUCAUGACGAUAAUUCAUCUUUGGAGAACUCCCAACCAUUGAAGUUUGGAAUACUACUCAUGCCUCAUGCUUCUUUAGAGGACCCUAAGUCUAUUGGUUCCACAAUAGAAGUGAUCGAUACAGAGAAUCGACGCAACCUCACACAUGUAAAUGUUCAUAUGGACCAACUCGACGACAUGAUGAUGCCCAAGGCGAUAGACUAUCUUCAUCUUAAUGCCAAGGCUAUGUCGUACCAGGUAUGCUGGAGGUCUAACCAUGGCAGUGCUCACCUAUGCGUGGAGAAGACAAGUGCGGAAAGAAAGCAUGGAGCACGCAGAGCCACACGACAAGAGAGGCUAGAGAUGGCGCGCAUCAAAAUGGAGGCCGCCCUCCAGACGUCCAACAAGUGGCAAAUCACUGACACCUCGCUACUCCAUUGGCGAAAGAAGCUGAAGUGCGCUGCCCAGGACUGCGACGAUGCAGCACACAGAUGCAGGCAACUUUCUCGUGAAGAGGACGAGGCAGAGCAGGUGGUAAGGAAAUCCUCAUUUCCUAGACGGGUUGCUCAUGCCACCAAGGCAUUCAUUUCCUCUCGUGUUGGCCGCAACAAUGAUGAUUGCUCUAUGGGCAGUGCCACCGUUCAAAGAUUCGAGAGGCUCGCGGAUGGUGCUGGUGAAUUUAUGAGAUAUGUGCAGCUUGGGUCACCACGACAACACCUAUUCUUUGACCCUCUCAUUGGGCAUAUCUUUGCAGGGAAAUCGUUGUUGUAUCAUGUGUUGGACCCAGGAGGCCAGUUACAUAUAUUCGUUAUACGCUCAAUGAGCUUCAAGGACAGAGGGUUA
This 1905-nucleotide ribosomal RNA is filed under the name Triticum aestivum (bread wheat). RNAcentral's name for it is "partial small subunit ribosomal RNA". Lineage: Eukaryota; Viridiplantae; Streptophyta; Magnoliopsida; Poales; Poaceae. The record is from RNAcentral.